CGUCCGUCGUGAAGAGGGAAACAACCCAGACCGCCAGCUAAGGUCCCAAAGUCAUGGUUAAGUGGGAAACGAUGUGGGAAGGCACAGACAGCCAGGAUGUUGGCUUAGAAGCAGCCAUCAUUUAAAGAAAGCGUAAUAGCUCACUGGUCGAGUCGGCCUGCGCGGAAGAUGUAACGGGGCUAAACCAUGCACCGAAGCUGCGGCAGCGACACUAUGUGUUGUUGGGUAGGGGAGCGUUCUGUAAGCCUGCGAAGGUGACCUGUGAGGGUUGCUGGAGGUAUCAGAAGUGCGAAUGCUGACAUAAGUAACGAUAAAGCGGGUGAAAAGCCCGCUCGCCGGAAGACCAAGGGUUCCUGUCCAACGUUAAUCGGGGCAGGGUGAGUCGACCCCUAAGGCGAGGCCGAAAGGCGUAGUCGAUGGGAAACAGGUUAAUAUUCCUGUACUUGGUGUUACUGCGAAGGGGGGACGGAGAAGGCUAUGUUAGCCGGGCGACGGUUGUC
Molecule: ribosomal RNA, 500 nt
Filed under: Klebsiella pneumoniae
Lineage: Bacteria; Pseudomonadati; Pseudomonadota; Gammaproteobacteria; Enterobacterales; Enterobacteriaceae
Description: partial 23S ribosomal RNA
Rfam family: Bacterial large subunit ribosomal RNA
Source: RNAcentral